GGGAGACACGCUGUCCUGCGGUUGGAACGGCCGCCAUAUGGUCCUCCCCAGCUCAAUGGCCUGAUCCAGCGACGCCGGGCAAUGGCACUGGACCCACUCCACGGUUCCUUCUGGAAGUCAAGUGACAAACUGCUCCAGCAGCACCAGAUCGAUGAUCUCCUCGGCGUCGCGGUUGUCGGCCCUCAGCCACCGCCGGCAGGCGUCCCAGAGUUGCUGGCCAAACGCGAACGGCCGGCCAACCUCCUCCAGGCGUAGCGUGCGGAAGCGCUGCCGCUGCUGCCCCCGCGUGCAGCCCACGCGCUGGAGGACGGCCCUGCGGAGGUCCAUGUAGACUAGCCGGCUGUCGGCGGGGAGCUGUAGCAUGGCCAGCUGCGACUCACCCGUGAGCAGGGGGAGGAGGCGCGCCACGCGCUGUUCCACUGGCCAACCCCACGCCUCUGCUGCCUGCUCAAAGAGAGCGAGGAAGGCCUCGGGGUCGUCGUGCGGGCCCAUCUUCGUUAGGGUGAGGUGGGAAAGGCCCGUGGGGGUGGUGGACCCCGCUGUAGGGACUGCCACAGUGUCGUCUAGAACUACAAAUCCCAUCAACUAACUCCCGCGAUGACCUACGUCACGGCGACCAUGAUCACCUACGUCACGUGACCGACUCUAUAAGUGACCCCGUCACACUCAACUCGUUCUCUCUCUCGCUGUGGACUUCGCGUCAUACAGACAUAAAGAGACACCCCGCUCAUUAGAACAUCCAAAAUCAAGACGUCUGCCUUGCAAGAAAAAGGACUCAGCGCGCUUUCGUAUUUACCACUGGCCACGGUAAAGAGCACCCAAGUUGCGCCGUCUCACUCAAUUGAGUUACAACUGGUUUUAUUUGUUUAUUAUAAGUAACAUUACGACUGCAGCCCAAGCAGUUAAUUAAAAGUUAGAAGCGACCGGAUUCCUUCUGACUUAAUCGCUGUGCACAUUAUUGAUCAGAGACUCUUCCUCACGAAUGACGAAGCUUCAGAUCAAGAGUUCUCUGCCCUUUACAGAAGCGAACCACAAGCUUUCUGUGAAACUACGCGAAACUUCAGGACAUCUCUGCAUAUCCUGCAUAGAGACAUCGAUACUGGAAGUAUCAUGCCGCCAUCUUGUGUCAGAACUACAAUUCCCAGUCCACUUCCGUGUGACCUACGUCACGCGUGGGCGGGAUCAUCUACGUCAUCAUUCAAGGAAACAUAAAACAAUGGGACAACGCUUCCAUCUUGGUCUCUCACGUCUGGCUUCCGAUGGAUCUGGAUGUAUAAAGAGGCGCGCUCUCCACCCAAAAAGACGUCUUCUUUCUUGCAAGAUCCGUCACUCAGCGCGAUCUUCUUACCCUUGGCAAAGGUAAACUCUAGAGUCGCGCGAUCUUUAAACUCAACCUGAGUUACAACCGGUUUACUUGCAUUAGAAGUGACGUCACGACUGCAGCCCAGGCAGUUAAAAGUUAAGAAGCGAUUGAAUCCUUUUUAACUCAAAAGCGCUGUGCAUCUCAUUCUGAUCAGAGACUUUUCCUCACGAACGCUGAGGUUCGGACCAAGAAUCCUCUGCUUUCCACGGGAACCACCCAAGUGCUCCGCUGGACCCGAAAGUUUUCUCCGCCUCCAUCACGAGCGGCUCACGUGCUCCCACGGCGAGGCCCGAGACUACACCGGCGAAUAGUUCUUCAUAUCUUGCUAAAGGCAGGAUUAAGUAAGAUUUUGGCAUUUGGGCAUAAUUAGGAUAGUCUUAGGAAUUUGCUUUUAUUGAAAUAGUGUGAAUUUAAACCCAGGUUUAUCUGUUACACUGUUAGACACGCAGCGUGUUGAUUUAUUUUGGUUCUAUGUUCUCUCAAUUGUUUAAUAGAUAGGCUGCGCAUGCUUCUCUCUUUUAUUCUUUACUACUAACAUAUAGUUCUCUUAUUAUACAUCUUGAUCUCAAGAUUUCAGUGGAUUCAGUAUGGUUAUGAGCUAGUGGGUUAGCUACAGCUUCCCUUUUGUCUGCUUAGCAAAACAAAGCUAAUCAAGGCCUACCAUGUGCUCAGCAGGCCAUCAGGCCUGAUAAACCACACCUCAGCUAGAAAUCCACAAGCUAGCUUUUAGUUAGCUACGGCUAAUACCCUUGUCUUUAGCAACACGUGCUCAGUAGGCCUCAUCAGGCCUAACAAACACACUUUAGCUAGGCCAUAGGGCCUUUAGCAAACUCACACUAGCAACACAAGGCUAAACACAGAGCUAAUCCUUUGUUCUGUUUAGAUAACAUUCUUUUGUUUAGCUACCAACAAGCUAGGCCUCCACCACGUGUAGUUAGCUACACGAGGCUAAACACAUGGUCAAGUCCUUCUCUCUCACACACACACCUCACUGCUUGUAUAUAUUGAUUUAUUAUUUUAUCUUUUAUCUUUGUAUAAUAAAUUCAUUUAUUAAACAAACUGUGUUUUAUUUGUGAACAACAAUAUCUGAAGUCCCCAAUCUUCUCAAAGAAUUCAAAAAGGGUGCGUAUGUUAUGUAAUAUGGUAAGUGAUCGUAAUAAUUUGGAAAUAUACCAUAAUUUAGCUGUUUGGUAAUUUAUUAUUAAGCACCAGGAUUAAUGGUAUGAUUCACUAAAUGAUUCCCUAAACGAUUCAUUGAAUGAUUCACCAAAUGAUUCACUAAACGAUUCAUUGAACGAUUCACUGAACGAUUCACUUCAAAUGAGAGUGAUUCUAUGGUAUGAUUCAAUUCAAAGGAGUCAAAGUAAACGAUUCAAUGGGAUUGAUUCAUUUUAAUUAUUAACCUUCAAAAUUUAAUGAGACUGAUUUAACGAGAUUGAUCACUUAAUUUCAAUAAUUAACUGAUUGCACCCACAACACAGACACUUAGUGUGUCGAGUUGAUCAUUGUGUUCUACAAUUAUUGUUUUCUCCGUUGUUUUAAUAGAUAGGCUGCUGCAUGCUCUUUUCUGUCUUCUCUAACGUCCCUUAAUUUCACUAUUACACACAUUUUGACCUCAUCAAGAUGUCUCAAGAAACCACGAGGUGAUUUUCACUUCCCCCCAACACCUUAGAUAACAUUCCAAACUUUACAGCGCAUCCUCCCGCGCGCACAUUCAAACUCUCUUUGUCUCCUCCUCCCUAUCUCUCCCCUCGCUCCCCCCCCCCACACACACAACCUCACUGUGCCUUGUUAUAUAUAUUGCCACUGACCAUAUUGAAUGUAUUCAACUGCUAUUACCCAUUUAGUAUCAUUGUUAUAAUAAAUUCAAUUAUUCUGUUAAA
Molecule: long non-coding RNA, 3246 nt
Organism: Neoarius graeffei (lesser salmon catfish)
Lineage: Eukaryota; Metazoa; Chordata; Actinopteri; Siluriformes; Ariidae
Exons: 2
Source: RefSeq, a predicted model, not a curated record